This 252-nucleotide ribosomal RNA is filed under the name uncultured bacterium. Its description in RNAcentral is "partial 16S ribosomal RNA". It matches the Rfam family "Bacterial small subunit ribosomal RNA", at positions 524 to 776 of the family's 1533-position model. The record is from RNAcentral.
UACGUAGGGGGCAAGCGUUGUCCGGAUUUAUUGGGCGUAAAGAGCGUGUAGGCGGCUGGGUAGGUCCGUUGUGAAAACUCGAGCUCAACCUCGAGACGCCGAUGGAAACCCUCCAGCUAGAGUCCGGAAGAGGAGAGUGGAAUUCCUGGUGUAGCGGUGAAAUGCGCAGAUAUCAGGAAGAACACCCGUGGCUAAGGCGGCUCUCUAGUACGUGACUGACGCUGAGACGCGAAAGCGUGGGGAGCAAACGGG